Long non-coding RNA from Micropterus dolomieu (smallmouth bass), 528 nucleotides. RefSeq lists it as uncharacterized. The transcript has 2 exons. Lineage: Eukaryota; Metazoa; Chordata; Actinopteri; Centrarchiformes; Centrarchidae. The record is from RefSeq and is a predicted model, not a curated record.
ACAACAUAUCGCGACAAAUUAGCAAAAUACGCUGUCGAAGCUGUUGAAAAGCAAUCUUUUGGCGUCGGUUGCCAUAGGCAACACAUAAUUUGUUCCGGUUCAUGGUCCGGCUGUGUUCUCACUGCAAACGAACCGCUCCAGGGUUCGUAUGGAAUCGAGCCGAGACCACCGCUUCUAGGCGAUCUCGGCUCUUUGAAUAGGCAGAUUUGCGGUAACUUUCUUUGACUGACAGAACCAUUUUUGCGCAUGUGCAGAACGGAACUGGCAGGCAGUACGGUUUGGUUCAGCUGUAAAUGUUCCCCUUAUCAGCUUAGCAAAAUAGACUGGAGAAAGAGUUUCAGAGUGCAAAAGGAGGGAGGUGGACCAGAAGGAGUUGACGGAGUUCAUCACUCAGGUGGAGUGUCUGAACAUGCCUGUGCAUUUCGUGAUGGAUCCUACCGCAGGGCUUUGUCCAGUCCUCCCCCGCCACUUAGCACGCGUUGGUUCAAAAAAUGUGAUCAAAGUUUGAAUAAAACAAAUGUGGCCAUA